This 511-nucleotide ribosomal RNA is filed under the name uncultured bacterium. RNAcentral describes it as "bacterial SSU rRNA". It matches the Rfam family "Bacterial small subunit ribosomal RNA", at positions 29 to 518 of the family's 1533-position model. The record is from RNAcentral.
AACGAACGCUGGCGGCGUGCUUAACACAUGCAAGUCGAACGCGAAAGGGACUUCGGUCCUGAGUAAAGUGGCGCACGGGUGAGUAACGCGUAGAUAACCUGUCUUUAUGUCUGGAAUAAUAACGCCGAAAGGGGUACUAAUACCGGAUAUUUUUGCAUUGCAUAAGCAGUGUAAGCAAAGGUGGCCUCUGACAUAAGCUACUGCAUAAAGAGGGGUCUGCGUACCAUUAGCUAGUAGGUGGGGUAAAGGCCUACCUAGGCUACGAUGGUUAGCGGGUCUGAGAGGAUGAUCCGCCACACUGGCACUGGAACACGGGCCAGACUCCUACGGGAGGCAGCAGUGAGGAAUAUUGCGCAAUGGGGCAACCCUGACGCAGCGACGCCGCGUGAGUGAGGAAGGCCUUCGGGUCGUAAAGCUCUGUCAAAGGGAAAGAAGUGCAUGGUGGUUAAUACCUGCCAUGUUUGACGGUACCCUUAAAGGAAGCACCGGCUAACUCCGUGCCAGCCGCAGC